RNAcentral lists this ribosomal RNA (375 nucleotides) under uncultured bacterium. RNAcentral's name for it is "bacterial SSU rRNA". It matches the Rfam family "Bacterial small subunit ribosomal RNA", at positions 28 to 395 of the family's 1533-position model. The record is from RNAcentral.
GACGAACGCUGACGGUGUGCUUUAGACAUGCAAGUCGAACGCGAAAGCCCUUCGGGGUUAGUAGAGUGGCGAACGGGUGAGUAACACGUGGGCAAUCUGCCCCUCGCAGGGGGACAACCGGAGGAAACUCCGGCUAAUACCCCGUACGCUUGCGGAACCGCAUGGUACCGCAAGGAAAGGUAGCUUCGGCCAUCCGGCGAGGGAUGAGCCCGCGGUGCAUUAGCUAGUUGGUGGGGUAACGGCCCACCAAGGCGACGAUGCAUAGCUGGUCUGAGAGGAUGAUCAGCCACACUGGGACUGAGACACGGCCCAGACUCCUACGGGAGGCAGCAGUCGGGAAUCUUGCGCAAUGGGCGAAAGCCUGACGCAGCAAAC